GGGAAGAAAAAAAUCGUAAUGAAAGACAAAAUAUUUGCAAUAGAUCAAAAUGACAAUCAAGUGGAAAACUUUAGAAUGCAGUUGGCAUAUUGGAAGAAAUAUUGACAUUUUCUUUCAGAAGUUAUACCUAAGGAAUGAGUGUUUUAAAUAUGUUUAAUGCAUUUAAAAUAUAAAUUUAUAUCCUAACCCUAAAAAGUGAGGGUGAAAUAAACAAUUUUAGGUUUGUUAAGAGCUAUCUUGCUAAGAUAUUUAUUAAUAUAUUUAUUAAUUUCACAUCCAGCAACCACAUCAUUUUAGUGAAGUUGAUUAUAUGGAAAAAAAUACAACGUUUUAAAAAGUAUUCCACCAAAAGGAAUGAGUGAUACAAAUCAUGACUCUUUUAAAAUGCUUUGUUUCUGAGCAAGUAGAAUAUUUUGAAUAAAAUAUAAUUUGUAUAAGCAUACAACAAAUAAAAAAAUUGUGUAUAUUAUUAGGGAAUUAGAUUUCACAGAAAACCUAUUAGACUAAUAACAAAAUGUGAAAGAUUUAUCCCAAAACUAAUAUACCUCCUAAGUAACAGAACAUUGGUUUCACUAAAAACAAACUUCCUUGUCAACUUCGGAGGAGCCAUAAUAUCUCUUCCUCACAACUGCUAAACAUAUAUUUUAACAAGAAUCAUAUUGUGUCAUUGAAAGGCAUGCAAAGCAUUUAAAAUAUAAUAGUAUAUGAUUAAUUAUUUGACCAUUAUGGUGCUUACCAACAUUCAUAAUUUCUUAGUUUUCAGUAAUUUCUAAAUUUAAAAGUGUUUUUGUUAUAAUUAUUAUUUUUGUUGUUUUUAAAUGCUCUAGGAAAAAUUUUUAGUUAGAAUGAAACCAGUUAGCUAAAGGGACUGGUCAGCAAAUAUAUAAAUUAUAAAUUAUCAGAUGUUUUGACGAUGCUAAUACCAAUUGUGUGGAAUUGACAGUAGGUAUCAGAUUUAUGAAGACAAGCUAUUCUGACCUCCAAACUGGUUAAAGUUCAUUAAAAUAAUCUUCUAUUUUUGUUUAACUCAUUUAUUUGCAAAGCCUUUUCUGCAAAAGAUUCAAAUGCUGGAACUGCCAUGCUCAGUUUUACAUACAUACAUAUAUAUAUUGUAUAUAUUUUAAUGUCAGAUCUAUUUAUGUGUACUACUUAGCUAUACUGCCAUAACAGAACUUAAAAUGACUACAGAAAAUGUUCUAUUUUCAAAGAGUAUUUUAUUCUAAAUACAGCAUUAUGAGAGGACCUAUUAAUUAUUGAUCUUUUAUCAGUAUGCUUAGAUCAGAACCUCAUGCUGGUUUGUUAUAUGGCCAGGUUUUUUUUAAUAAAUGUUUUUGUGUCAGUUUCACGUGUAAUCAAGUCAAUAAAAUUAGUUAUAUUUUUGUGUACUUACCUUCUAAGAUGUUAUGCUUCUAAAUGUUAGACUUCUGUUCUGGCAAAUAAAAAUUUUAUAUCUUA
This 1455-nucleotide long non-coding RNA is filed under the name Sarcophilus harrisii (Tasmanian devil). RNAcentral's name for it is "lncRNA (ENSSHAG00000031257.1)". The record is from RNAcentral. Lineage: Eukaryota; Metazoa; Chordata; Mammalia; Dasyuromorphia; Dasyuridae.